This is a long non-coding RNA of Liolophura sinensis, 292 nucleotides long. RefSeq lists it as uncharacterized. The transcript has 3 exons. The record is from RefSeq and is a predicted model, not a curated record. NCBI's taxonomy places the organism in Eukaryota, Metazoa, Mollusca, Polyplacophora, Chitonida, Chitonidae.
UGUAAAGGUCCAGAUUUUGACGGUCAACCUAUGUCAAGAUUUUUACAGCUUCUUUCUCUCAGGCUGGGCCAGAUGCCAGUGUCACACUUUGGUGUUUGUUAUGUGGAAAGUACUAAUUUAGUCUGAGGCAACAACACAGGUGGUGGGAUUCUUUUGCACUGUGAGUUGAGAUAUACAUACCAGCUUUCCAAAACAUUUGACCUGGUUAAGAUAUUUUGAAGGGUAUGUGCACUACAGAGCUUUGAACUUGGUGCUUGAGGACGGACAAACAGACACAUUUCCAAGAUAGGGG